UGUGCUAAGGUAGCAUAAUCAUUUGUCUCCUGAUUAGAGACUAGUAUGAAUGGUUAGACGAGGGGAAUUCUUUCUUAACUAAAUAAACUAAAAUUAGCUUUAAAGUCAAAAGCCUUUAAGAACUUAGGGGGACGACAAGACCCUAUAAAACUUUACCUCCUGUAAAAUUUAAUCCUAAGAGAUCCAACUAUUUACCCGAGGUUUUGCUGGGGCGGCAAAUUUUUAAUCCUACCAUAAUUUAACUUAACUAGCUCAAGAUUUUAACGAGCCUUCUUUAAGAAAAGGAACAAGUUACUUUAGGGAUAACAGCGUUAUAUCUUUUUAGAGCUCCUAUCGCCAAAGAUGUUUGCGACCUCGAUGUUGAAUUGAAAUACCUGCUUUGGGCAA
This 387-nucleotide ribosomal RNA is filed under the name Idotea chelipes. RNAcentral describes it as "16S ribosomal RNA". It matches the Rfam family "Bacterial large subunit ribosomal RNA", at positions 1947 to 2560 of the family's 2925-position model. The record is from RNAcentral. Lineage: Eukaryota; Metazoa; Arthropoda; Malacostraca; Isopoda; Idoteidae.